This 1821-nucleotide long non-coding RNA is filed under the name Centruroides sculpturatus (bark scorpion). RNAcentral describes it as "uncharacterized LOC111633901". The record is from RNAcentral. Lineage: Eukaryota; Metazoa; Arthropoda; Arachnida; Scorpiones; Buthidae.
GCGAUUUAUAAUUUCUAGACUGGAAUCGACAGAAAUUGAAAAAUACGAUAAAGUCGUGUCUUUCUACGUCUUCCAUUUUAUAAAUGAUCUGGAAAACUUAUUUUCUGUCGUUUCUUCGCUUCUGAAGCCCGGAGGACAUUUUUUCUUCGUUCUUAUUACCAAACAACCUUGGUAUUCCGUCAGACGAGAGCCGAGUACCGACCGAGAGUGGACCGAGUACAUAAAGACCGAAGAUAUGCUGGACACGAUUCCGCCCACCGACGAUUGGAAGGACGUCGAAUCGGAAUUUAAAAAUUACGUUUUCCGGUUUGGCUCGAGAGUGACCAAAAGUAAAUGCGAUGUUUUAGAUGUGCCGUUUUCUGAUAAAAAGCAAUUUUUGGAUUUACUACUCGCCGUAUCGCCUAAAGCCAUCUUCGAAAACAUGGAACCGGACGUAAAACAACGCCUUUGGAGACGGGCGGAACCAAUUAUUCUCAAAUACGCCACGCGGCGGGAAAACGGUGAAAUUUCGGUCCCUUGCGAAUUUUUGCAGGUUUCGGGAAUCAAGAAAACAGAAUGAAAUCAAUGUACACUCCGUAAUACCGUAUAGGCGCAGUUUAUUUUAUAUAAGGCUUUGUUUUUCGUUAGUCGAAACAGUUUGGAUUUGUCAUAAUGCAGAAAAAUAGACGAGCGGCGGUUUCGUAUUCGGUCUGUCCGGGUACGUCGACCACCAAUUCUUACAAUUCGAUCAAUACCGUAUUGUAGCCUACUAUAAUGAAUACGAUUCAAAGCCUCUCUUUGUACUGCCCAAAGAUUACAAACAUAAAAAAACUAAGAGAUACACCGAUGAAAGAUCAAACGUUUUAUUGCAUUGUUUACACUUACGCGCUUCUUAUAUUUCUCUUUUGAUGCAGCUGCUCAAAAAGUUUUUAUGACGACUCUUUCUUACUGUUAUUAACCGCGGAGUUAUAGCGGGUCGAUGCUAUAAAACCACCAUACGUUUCCUGGUCGGCAUUCGUGUUUAGUAAUAAGUUAGAUUUAAGAUAACUAACUUAAAAUUAAAUUAUAGCUAAGUUAAAUGUAAGUUAUAAGUAUAUUCACUAAUUCUCCUAGUUAAGUUAUUCCGCUUCUUAGAGGCUCGCUGGCUUCCGUAUUAUUUUAGUAUCGGUUUAAAGCCUUUACUCUAGUUUUAAGCAUUAUACUCGACUCUGUCUGGCUUUUACGUAGCGCGCUACUUAUCCACGUACUGUACGCUACAAUUCCGACUUUCUUUUAGAUCCGCGGCUUUGCGGGAUAAAAACAGCGCGCGGAGAAUUGUAACCUUAUUUACACCGCUCGGAGGGAUCCUUCCUUUCUCGUUUUUCUAUCUUCUCUUCCCCUACUUCCGCCAGCUAAACGCUUUGGGUACGGCCGUCGUUUUUCCUUAAAAUAUUAUAAAACGGCAAAAAGCUUAAUUUUGAGUGUAGAGAUACCGUACAAAACCGUAAAAAAAUACACAUUAUUAUUCUAUAAUGUAGGAAACACGUGUAAUACAUAAUACAUACUACAAAUAAUGUAAUAAAGGAACAUCGGUCAUUGUAACUGAUGUAUUAUUGAAAGUUUUAUUCGUACAGAUAAUGAAUUUUAUCAAGAAACAUUUCUCCGGAAGAAAAUUAUCGAUAUUUCGCGUAAAUAUAGGUACAUUUUUUUCGGUUUUUGCGGCAUUUUUUAUUGUCGGGGUUAAGAUUGUAAAUUUUUAAAUAUAAAUUUUGAUUUUCUUUACAAAUAAAGUGAUUUUUAUAUCUCUAUUUCACCGUUAUUAGUUAUAGUAAUGACGUCACUGUACCAUACGUAGAACACUCA